RNAcentral lists this small RNA (7110 nucleotides) under Arabidopsis thaliana (thale cress). RNAcentral's name for it is "ATSL267830". The stretch from base 4857 to 4963 matches the Rfam family "Plant small nucleolar RNA R71". Lineage: Eukaryota; Viridiplantae; Streptophyta; Magnoliopsida; Brassicales; Brassicaceae. The record is from RNAcentral.
AAAGCCUCAGGCGAGAGUUGAACAGCAACACUUGAUCACCAACCUUAAAAUCUCUUGAGACUAUCUUCUUAUCAUGGAAAGACUUGGUUCGCUCCUUGUAGAUUUUGGAACUCUCAUAGGCUUCUAAGCGAAUCUCGUUGAGAUCGUUCAGUUGGAUCAACCGCUUCUCCUCGGCGGUUUUAAUGUCGAAGUUCAGGAGUUUAACUGCCCACAUGGCUUUAUACUCGAGUUCAACAGGCAAAUGACAGGAUUUUCCAUAGAGGAGGUUGAAAGGAGUCGUGCCAAUAGGGGUCUUGAAGGCUGUUCUGUAAGCCCAUAGUGCGUCAUCGAGCUUAGCAGACCAAUCUUUCCUUGUACUUCCCACAAUUUUCUCUAAAAUUGCUUUUAUCUCCCUGUUGGAGAUUUCCACCUGCCCGCUCGUCUGUGGAUGAUAAGGAGUGGCGACCUUGUGCUUUACUCCAUGCUUCUUCAAAAGGUUCUAAAAAACCUUGUUGAUAAAAUGUUUCCCUCCGUCACUGAUCACAAUUCUCGGGACUCCAAAUCUAGGAAAGAUAAUUGUCUUGAACAGCUUUAGCACAACUCUAGCAUCAUUGGUGGGGCUGGCUAUGGCUUCCACCCAUUUUGAUACAUAGUCUACUGCGACCAGUAUGUACUUGUUCCCGUAAGAGGAAGGAAACGGACCCAUAAAAUCAAUUCCCCAAACGUCAAAGAUCUCAACUUCUAAUAUCGGAUUCUGAGGCAUCUCAUUCCUUCUGCUGAUGUUCCCUCUUCUCUGACAUGAAUCACAUUUCGAGAUAAAUUCCUGAGCAUCCUUAAACAUUGAUGGCCACCAAAAACCAGCUUGCAGGAUUUUCGACACUGUCUUGAACGUUGCGAAGUGGCCACCAUAGGCAGACCCAUGGCAAUGCAAUAGGAUGCCUUCGAUUUCGUCUUCUGAGACGCAUCUCCUGUAGAUCUUAUCUUUGCAGAGUGUGUAGAGAUAAGGUUCGUCCCAGUAGAAAUGGUUAAUGUCCUUGAAGAACUUCUUCUUCUCAUAGCUCGACAGAUUCGGAGGCUCCUCACCACUAACCAAGUAGUUGACGUGAUCAGCAUACCACGGAAGCUUUUCUUCAAUUGUACAUACUUGAUCGAGUGAUUUCCGAAUUUGUGCACUCUCGUUAAGUUGCUGAAUUGCUAUUAGCUGUUCUUCUGGCAUGGAGUCGUCAAUAGGGACCUCGUCUUCAAUCCUCAUCCUAGACAGAUGAUCAGCUACACCGUUUUCAAUUCCCUUCUUAUCAACUAUCUCCAUAUCAAACUCUUGGAGCAAUAAGAUCCAUCUCAACAGCCUAGGUUUGGUAUCCUUCUUCGCGUAUAUAUGCCUCAGAGCAGCAUGAUCAGUGUAGACUGUCACUUUAGAACCCACUAGGUAGCUUCUAAAUUUUUCAAAUGCAAAUACCACAGCUAGCAGUUCCUUCUCUGUAGUGGCAUACCUUACUUGUGUAUCAUCCAUCGUUCUGCUCGCGUAGUAGAUCACAUGCAGCUUUUUAUCAAUCCGCUGGCCCAAGACUGCUCCUACUGCGUAAUCUGAAGCAUCGCACAUGAUCUCGAAUGGGAAGUCCCAGUUUGGAGCUUGGACUAUUGGUGCAGUGAUCAAAGCUUCCUUGAUUAACUUAAAGGCUGUCAAACAUUCGUCAUCAAAUGCAAACUCGGUUUCCUUGCACAGUAGUCUGGUGAGCGGUCUUGCCAACUUGGAGAAAUCUUUGAUGAAUCUUCUGUAAAAUCCUGCAUGUCCAAGAAAACUCCUGAUGUCUUUGACAGUUUUGGGUGGCUGUAACUGCAUCAUCACGUCAACCUUAGCCUUAUCAACCUCUAUUCCCUCUUCCGAAAUUUUGUGGCCCAAAACGAUGCCUUCUCUAACCAUGAAAUGGCAUUUCUCCCAGUUCAGCACUAGGUUUGUCUCUUCACAUCUUUUAAGUACCCUGCACAGGUUCAACAAACACGAGGAGAAGGAAGAGCCAUACACAGAAAAAUCAUCCAUGAAUACCUCUACCAUCUCCUCUAUCAAAUCCGAGAAAAUAGAAGUCAUACACCGCUGAAAAGUAGCUGGUGCAUUACAGAGACCGAAAGGCAUACGCUUGUAAGCAAAGGUCCCAUAAGGACAAGUGAAAGUGGUUUUUUCUUGGUCAUUUGGGUGAAUAGGGAUUUGAAAAAAUCCGCUAUAACCAUCCAAAAAGCAAUAGUAAGGAUGGUUUGCUAAUCUUUCUAGCAUCUGAUCAAUGAAGGGCAAUGGGAAAUGGUCUUUUCUAGAGGCAGCAUUUAACUUCCUAUAGUCAAUACACAUCCUAUGUCCAGUUAUAGUCCUAGUGGGUAUCAGUUCAUCUUUAGAAUUUUUAACAACUGUCAUACCUCCUUUUUUAGGAACGCAGUGGACUGGAGAUACCCAAGUGCUAUCAGAGAUAGGGUAGAUAACCCCAGCAUCUAAUAGUUUAAGUAUCUCCUUUUUGACAACCUCUUUCAAGUUAGGGUUUAAUCUCCUUUGAGGUUCAAUGCUAGAGUAGGAUUCAUUUUCAAGAUGGAUUCUAUGGGUGCAUAAGGUGGGCGAAAUCCCCUUAAUAUCAUCUAACGAAUAUCCUAUAGCUUUCCUAUACUUCUUGAGCUCGGUUAUCAGCAGGUUUACUUGAUCAGCAGUUAGCCCAUCAUUCACUAUGACAGGAUAAGUAGAGUUUAGUCCAAGAAAAACGUACCUUAGCCCUUUUGGUAGCGGUUUCAAAUCUACUUUGGGUGCCUUGAGUUCAGACCAGUCAUCGGAUACUAAGUUGGCUUCAGAGGGGUUGUUGUGGUCGAGUAGCUCGGUCGAGUACACAGAAUGGGCUGUUGGUCGAGUGAUGAGGUCGAGUAUAUAUUCCUCCCUUGCUCUUUCACCCAAAUCUUCAUACUCUCCUGGAUUCUCAACUGCUUUGUGUUCAUCUAACAGCUUUUGGUACCCCAAAAUCUCCAAAUGUAAAUCUCCUUCCUUGCUAUCCUUUGUUAGAGCACUCUGUAGAUGAUCUGUUUCUCCCAGCUCUUCUAGCAUUUCGUCAGCUAACAUAUCCAUCUCUUCAAUCCAGAAAACAUUUCCUUCUAUCGUAGGCUUCUUCAUGGUGUUGGUGAUAUCGAAGGUCAUCUUGAGAUCUCUCCCGAGGUUAAGAUCAAUUUUUCCCUUCUUAACAUCAAUGAUAGCUCCAGCUGUAGCUAAAAAUGGUCUUCCCAAUAUCAAAGGGUCUUUGGAUUCUUCAUCCAUUUCUAAAACCACAAAGUCUGUCGGUACUUCGACCAUGCCUAUCAUGACUGGUAAGUCCUCCAGCAGACCAUGGGGAAUCCUAACAGAUCUGUCAGCUAGGAUCAAGGAUAUAUUGCAGGGCUUGUACUUGUUGAAGCCCAGUUUCUUUGCCACAGAGAGAGGCAUGAGACUCACAGAUGCACCUAGAUCACAGAGGCACUUGUUGAAGGCUAAAGGGCCUAGAGCGCAAGGUAAGGUGAAGGAACCAGGAUCUCCUAGUUUUUUUGGAAUGAUCUUCUGCUGAAUGAUCGCACUGCAUUCGUGACUUAGCACCACCAUUCCUUGGACUUCUUUGAUCCUCUCUGUAAUCAUGUCUUUCACAUAUUUGUUAGAGUCUGGUAUAAGUGCAAGACAGUCGACAAGAGGCAUCGUGACUUCAAGAUUUUUCAAUUGUUUCUCCAGGAGAGCUUUGUACUUCUGUAUCAUGACCUUCUUGAAUCGACCAGGAAAUGGGAGUGGGGGCUUGUAAGGUGGGGGAACGAAGACGUUGUCUUUGGUUUUGGCGGCAGCUGGUUUUUCAACAAGAGGAGAUGCUGCAGGAGCUAGUAGUCGAGUAGGUUGGUCGAGUAUAGGCUCUUCUAUUGCUUUUUCAGCGGAAUUUCCAUUUUGACAGAAAUCCUCCCCAUCUUGAUCCACACUGUCCUCAGUGUUCUGGUUCGGGCUCUCUUUUGUGGGUAAUUCUUUACCGCUUCUAAGUGUGAUAGCAUGAGCGUACUCCUCUGAAUUUGACAUUGAUUUUCUGGAAGGUCCUGUAAAUUUGGGUGCUGCGGUCGACCCAGUUUGGCCUUCUAUGUAUCUAAUCUUAGAUGUCAGUGCUUCAACCUUGAUAUUGAUAUCAUUGUAACUGCACUCAACCUUGUUGUGAAUUUCUGCCAUCCUUUUGGACAAAUCCAUUGCUCUUGUUGCUUGCCCUUGUAGAAUCUGCUGUAACAUGUUCUUCAAGUCUGAAUCUGGAGUUGUUGAAGCUGGUUGUUGUUGCUGCUGUGUGAACCCAGGUGGUGGAAGUUGCUGCUGAUAGUUGCCCUGAUACUGCUGCUUAGGAACAUACCCUUGACCUUGGUUGUAUGGAACAAAGGGCUUGGGUUGAUUCUGCUGCUGUGAAGGGUAAACUUGGUCCUGCGGGUUUGCAACGUUUGUACUUCUGUAAGACAGAUUGGGAUGGUUCUGCUUGAAGUUGUUGAAACCUUUGUUGUAACCUCCUUGGUUCUGCACAUAACUGACCUCUUCUGACUGCAUAGUCUCCCCAUCCUGAACUUGGAACGUCUCAUCAUCACCCAGAAAAUGAAUGUGCUUUUGUUGCACAAGUAGUAGCUUGUCCAGUUUGUCAUUCAUGGCUUUCAUUUCCCUGCGGUGCUUCUCAUCAGAAUCAGAGCUGGUGCGGACGCUUCUAUCAUAAUCUUCAUUAUAGUUGCCAUCCGACUGAGCUAAGUUCUCUACCAGCUCCCAUCCGUCUUCAACGUCUUUGUUGAGAAAGUUCCCGUUAGAAGCGGUAUCUAGAAGCAUCCUGAUCUUUGGGAGGACACCUCUGUAGAGAGUGCUGAGAAGCGAAGCUUUGGAGAAACCAUGAUGAGGACAUUGCGUCUGAUAACCUUUGAAGCGCUCCCAUGCUUCGCAGAAAGUCUCAUUAUUCGUCUGAGUGAAACCGGAGAUAUCAUUCCUUAGUCUCGCAGUCCUGGAGUUUGAGAAAAACUUAGCCAAGAAGGCUUUCUUGCAGUCAUUCCAGGAGGUGAUAGAGCCUUGAGGAAGCGACUUUUCCCACUGAUGGGCUUUGUCUCCAAGAGAGAAAGGAAACAAUCUGAGCUUGAAGCCAUCCUCACUGACUCCAUUGAUCUUUGUUAGGCUGCAGAGCCUAUCAAACUCGUCCAGGUGAUCGAGUGGAUCCUCCAUACGGAGGCCGUGGAACUUGUUGGUCUGAACCAUGGCAAUGAGACCGCUCUUGAUCUCAAAGUUGUUGUUCUGCACAGGUGGAGGCACGAUGCCAUUAUGCUGAUUGUGGUUGCGUGGUGCAUCGCCUGCACCUAUGUUGUUUGGUUGCACCUGCUCAUCAACAACUGCAGCCAUUGUGUCUGUUUCUGUCUGUGUUCUGAGUUGGCGUGCAAUACGGUCGAUGUUAUCGUUGAACAGGAGAUUCUGAUUUCCUCGUGACCGUGUUUGCAUACAACGAGUACCAACUGGUGAAGCUAGUGAUUCGUAGUACCUGAAUCAAAACAGACAAACAGAAAUAACACAAAGUUAGUAACUUUCAGAAAAAAUGAAAAAGAACUUGAUCUUAAAUAUUCUGAAAUCUCAAAUAUAGCAAACAAACACCCAAUUGGCAACGGCGCCAAAUUGAUAAUAAGUUUUUAGUCAAUUAUUCCUAAAACACCAAUCAUGUCGUUGUAGUAUUUUAGGUGUCAAUCCAAAUGGGUGUGAUGCAAACAGAUGAGAUGUGAUCAGAGGUCACUAAGUCAAGCCAAGCAAUAACAGUUUUGGGGUUUCUAACAGUCCUAAGCGAACAUGCAGAAAACAGAAGCAAUAACAGAAUUACUAAAAUCACUCGACCACAACAGGCUGAUGCCAGAAGUAGGAUGUGGUCGAGUAACAGGUCGAGUAAUAAACAGGAUAUGAAACAGCUAUACUCGACUGCACAGUCUGUUGCCAGACACUGGGUGUGGUCGAGUAAGUUGGUCGAGUGAUUGUAAAAACUAAGAAACAGGCAAUGAGAACGAUUAAGCGAUAACGAUAAAACAGAGAAAUAAGAUAGACGAGAAAUUCCUAAGGAUGGGGUAAUCGAGUAGAGUGGUGUCCUAGCCUAUUCGAAUGGUUAACAAGCGCAAUCAAGCUAUCCCUAGACAACAGGUUCAACAACAGACCAAUUCACUCCCGUGAUAGAAAUCCUCAAGCAAAGCUAGCCCAGACUAAUUCCCAUUAACGGAAUCUAACUAUGAAGGCAAUACGAACAGACUGAUAAAGUCAAUAAACGCUCUAAACGGCCAAUCCCUUGGGAUAGAGACGCAUAUCUCAGGAACUAGUGGAUCAAGCAUUCCAUCGAACACCUUCUGGGUGCGGGAAUGCUUGGGAUCGAAUUCCAGUUGAUCAGAAAGAAAUAAGCAGUAAACGCAACUAGUCCUAAAGGGAUUCAAUCAAUUCUAAAACUUAACCAUUCUACAGACUACGGAUUCCACAACUACUCUAUCCCAUCCCUAAGAAUUCUAAGUCACUACUCAGACAGCAUGCUCAAAGACAUAAACGUAGGUAAACGAUAAUAUUGCAUAAGUAAAGAGAUAAAGAGUAGAGAAACAAGAUGACUAAUGAAAUCAAACGCGGAAUCUCAAUAACUUGGAAAAUUCGCGAACCACAGGUUGCAGAAGCAAAAGCGGCGUAGCAGAGUAAAACUGAAAAUAAAACUGAAGCAAAAACGCAAUGUCGACUAGAUGUCUCAGGACAGAACCCUAAAACAUCUAUUUAUACCAAACGAAAUAAAAUGAUAGUAGACGGGCCAAUAACCUAAUCGCCCGGCCCAUAGAGUGAUAAUGGGCCGAGAUGGGCUUCGUGAUCCGAUGGAGGUCCAGGCCGCUUCCAAACACUUUGUCUUCUCUUCUUUUCUUCCUUGUGCUCAGCUUGUCUGGUUGAGUGCGGAUUUGAGUAGACUGUGAAGACGUGAUCGAGUGUCCGGUCGAGUGAUGGUGAUGGUGGUGAGUGAUGAUACUCGACCAGGGGGUCGAGUAACGUGGUAGAGUGAAUGGUCGAGUGUGGUCAGGUGGUGUGGCGAAGCGGUACUCGACCAGGGGGUCGAGUAAUGUCGUCGAGUGGCCUGAGCUGAGGUUACUCGA